UUUAAGACGUACAUUGAACGUGCAUGUCUAUAAAGCAUUGACUUUUAGGUGGUGUUUGUUUUUUUCCUGCAGAUCUGUGUGACCACUUCUAUUUGCACCACACAGACCACACGCAUAUAUAGACCCUCACAAACAGUUUGUUUUUUGGAAGUGUGCAGACUUGAAAACAUCUGCGAGAGGUCUUCUUGACACAUACAUUGACCAAUGUCUUCUAAGGUCUUUACAAGUCUUUUAAACCCAAAAGAACAUACAUUUUUUUUUCUCUCAGCGCCUCCAACAUCUGCCAACACAUCUCUCCACCAGUUUUCUUCAACCUCGUGUCUCCUUCAUGUGCCGCCACUUUCCAGACCAGAACCGUCAUCUUCGUCUCCGAUUGCACCAGAUGCACUUCGAAAAUGAAAUUAAUUGUACAUCGGAUUUUCCUUUGAAAACGAAACUAGGUAGACAACACCAAAUAUGUCGAGAAACAUGGAAAUUUGAAUAAGAUCACAAUGCUGUCAAUGGUGGCAAUAGUUGAAGCGUGUGUGACUUUCAUGUUCAAGAGUUCACCUUAGAUUAUGAAUGGUUAUGAUUGGAAAAUUUAUGUGUAAUGUGUAUAUGUUGGUAUUGAUGUUAUUCCUUAUGAUUCCAUAUCAAUCUAAAGCAUUUGUAAUAAAAAGAGAUACGUGUUGCAUGUAUGAUAUUAUUUUAAGAUA
Molecule: non-coding RNA, 695 nt
Organism: Lactuca sativa (garden lettuce)
Lineage: Eukaryota; Viridiplantae; Streptophyta; Magnoliopsida; Asterales; Asteraceae
Source: RefSeq, a predicted model, not a curated record